CGGACAUCUGUCCACACUGCAUCUAAGACGGUACGUGAGGCGUUUAUGGUUAGGUCGGCCAUGAUUAAAUGUUGAUUGAUACAUAUACUCCAAUUUGUAUGCGUACUUGUAUAAAGAUCAUUUUUUAUAAGUACCUUUUUAUGAUGGUACCAUCAUCCAUGUGUAGUAAGAGUUGGGAUUAAUUCACAUAAAGUACGGUCUAAAACAAGAGUGAAGAUUUUAAUUACAUCUAACAUGUUACCCAAAAAAAAAAAAAAGAUUUAAUUACAUCGUCGAACAAGUCUGAAUACAUAGUCCAAAAAACAAAAUACAUAUCAUUUUUCUCUUUGUAUCAAAAAC
This 339-nucleotide long non-coding RNA is filed under the name Capsella rubella. Its description in RNAcentral is "long non-coding RNA (CRUB_LNC004508)". The record is from RNAcentral. Lineage: Eukaryota; Viridiplantae; Streptophyta; Magnoliopsida; Brassicales; Brassicaceae.